Molecule: ribosomal RNA, 253 nt
Filed under: uncultured bacterium
Lineage: Bacteria
Description: partial 16S ribosomal RNA
Rfam family: Bacterial small subunit ribosomal RNA
Source: RNAcentral
UACGGGGGAUGCAAGCGUUAUCCGGAAUCAUUGGGCGUAAAGCGUCUGUAGGUUGCUUAAUAAGUCUGUUGUUAAAGGUUAGGGCUCAACCCUAAAAAAGCAAUGGAAACUGUUAAGCUUGAGUAUGGCAGGGGUAGAGGGAAUUUCUAGUGUAGCGGUGAAAUGCGUAGAUAUUAGAAAGAACACCGGUGGCGAAGGCGCUCUACUGGACCAUUACUGACACUCAGAGACGAAAGCUAGGGGAGCAAAAGGG